This 672-nucleotide ribosomal RNA is filed under the name Apiotrichum scarabaeorum. RNAcentral describes it as "eukaryotic LSU rRNA". It matches the Rfam family "Eukaryotic large subunit ribosomal RNA", at positions 1 to 663 of the family's 3401-position model. The record is from RNAcentral. Lineage: Eukaryota; Fungi; Basidiomycota; Tremellomycetes; Trichosporonales; Trichosporonaceae.
UGGCCUCAAAUCAGGUAGGACUACCCGCUGAACUUAAGCAUAUCAAUAAGCGGAGGAAAAGAAACUAACAAGGAUUCCCUUAGUAACGGCGAGUGAACCGGGAAAAGCUCAAAUUUGAAAUCUGGCUGUCUUCGAUAGUCCGAGUUGUAAUCUAUAGAAGUGUUUUCCGUGCUGAACUGUGUCUAAGUCCCUUGGAACAGGGUAUCAAAGAGGGUGACAAUCCCGUACUUGACACAAUCAUCAGUGCUCUGUGAUACACUUUCUACGAGUCGAGUUGUUUGGGAAUGCAGCUCAAAAUGGGUGGUAAAUUCCAUCUAAAGCUAAAUAUUGGCGAGAGACCGAUAGCGAACAAGUACCGUGAGGGAAAGAUGAAAAGCACUUUGGAAAGAGAGUUAAACAGUACGUGAAAUUGUUGAAAGGGAAACGAUUGAAGUCAGUCGUGUUCAUUGGAUUCAGCUAGUUCUUCUAGUCUACUUCCUUUGAACGGGUCAACAUCAGUUUUGUCCGGUGGAUAAAGGCAGUAGGAAUGUGGCUUCUUCGGAAGUGUUAUAGCCUAUUGUCACAUACACUGGAGGAGACUGAGGACUGCAGCUCGCCUUUUGGCCGGGGUUCGCCCACGUUCGAGCUUAGGAUGUUGACAUAAUGGCUUUAAACGACCCGUCUUGAAACACG